Molecule: ribosomal RNA, 478 nt
Filed under: uncultured Planctomycetales bacterium
Lineage: Bacteria; Pseudomonadati; Planctomycetota; Planctomycetia; Planctomycetales
Description: bacterial SSU rRNA
Rfam family: Bacterial small subunit ribosomal RNA
Source: RNAcentral
UUCGCAAUGCCCGAAAGGGUGACGAAGCGACGCCGCGUGUGGGAAGAAGGCCUUCGGGUUGUAAACCACUGUCGGGAGUUAAGAAAUGCAAGGAUAUUAAUAGUGCCUUUGCUUGACUAAGGCUCCGGAGGAAGCCACGGCUAACUCUGUGCCAGCAGCCGCGGUAAUACAGAGGCGGCAAGCGUUGUUCGGAAUUAUUGGGCGUAAAGAGCACGUAGGCGGCUAUGUAAGUCGGUUGUGAAAGCCUUCCGCUCAACGGGAGAACAGCAUCCGAUACUACAUGGCUUGAGUGCGGGAGGGGAGAGUGGAACUUCUGGUGGAGCGGUGAAAUGCGUAGAUAUCAGAAGGAACGCCGGCGGCGAAAGCGGCUCUCUGGCCCAUAACUGACGCUGAGUGUGCGAAAGCUAGGGGAGCAAACGGGAUUAGAUACCCCGGUAGUCCUAGCCGUAAACGAUGGGCACUAAGUAGAGGGGUUUUA